RNAcentral lists this transfer RNA (67 nucleotides) under Sternolophus sp. STE01. RNAcentral describes it as "tRNA-Phe". The record is from RNAcentral. Lineage: Eukaryota; Metazoa; Arthropoda; Insecta; Coleoptera; Hydrophilidae.
ACUUAAAUAGCUUAUAAAUUAGAGCAUAAUAUUGAAGAUAUUAAGGAAAUAGGAUUAUUUUUAAGUA